UGCAGUCGAGCGAGAUUCUUAAGAAGAUACUUCGGUUGAUUCUUAGGAAGGACAGCGGCGAAAGGGAGAGUAACGAGUAGAUUACGUGCCCAAGGGUUCGGGAUAGCCAUGCGAAAGCGUGAGUAACACCGAAUAAUGUCUCCGGACCAAAAAUUUAUUGCCCUUGGAGCGGUCUGCUUACUAUUAGCUUGUUGGUGGGGUAACGGCCUACCAAGGCUAAGAUGGUUAGCGGGUGUGAGAGCAUGGCCCGUCUCACUGGGACUGAGAUACUGCCCAGACACCUACGGGUGGCUGCAGUCGAGAAUCUUCCGCAAUGGACGAAAGUCUGACGGAGCGACGCCGCGUGAUGGACGAAGGCCCUCGGGUUGUAAACAUCUGUCGUAGGGGAGGAAAUUUUGACCGAUCCUAGGAGGAAGCACAGGCUAAGUUCGUG
This 433-nucleotide ribosomal RNA is filed under the name uncultured bacterium. RNAcentral's name for it is "bacterial SSU rRNA". It matches the Rfam family "Bacterial small subunit ribosomal RNA", at positions 56 to 507 of the family's 1533-position model. The record is from RNAcentral.